AGCAGCCGCGGUAAUUCCAGCUCCAAUAGCGUAUAUUAAAGUUGUUGCAGUUAAAAAGCUCGUAGUUGAAUUUCGGAAUCAAUAUAUCGGUCGUGCCUUGGUACGUACUGGUAUCAUUGGUUUCUCCUUUCUGACGAACCAUGAUGUCAUUAAUUUGGUGUUAUGGGAAGUUAGGACUGUUACUUUGAAAAAUUAGAGUGUUUAAAGCAGGCUUUAGCUUGAAUACAUUAGCAUGGAAUAAUGAAAUAGGACGUUCGAACCUAUUUUGUUGGUUUCUAGGAUCAACGUAAUGAUUAAUAGGGAUAGUUGGGGGCAUUAGUAUUCAAUUGUCAGAGGUGAAAUUCUUGGAUUUAUUGAAGACUAACUACUGCGAAAGCAUUUGCCAAGGAUGUUUCAUUAAUCAAGAACGAAAGUUAGGGGAUCGAAGACGAUCAGAUACCGUCGUAGUCUUAACCAUAAAUUAUGCCGACUAGGGAUCGGAUGAUGUUAAUUUUUUAAUGUACUCA
Molecule: ribosomal RNA, 506 nt
Filed under: uncultured Glomeraceae
Lineage: Eukaryota; Fungi; Glomeromycota; Glomeromycetes; Glomerales; Glomeraceae
Description: SSU rRNA
Rfam family: Eukaryotic small subunit ribosomal RNA
Source: RNAcentral